CCAUGCAGUCGAGCGCGAAAGUUUUCGGAUGAGUAGAGCGGCGAACGGGUGAGUAACGCGUGGGAAUCUGCCUGGUAAUGGGGGACAACAUCUCGAAAGGGAUGCUAAUACCGCAUACGCCCUAAGGGGGAAAGUGGGGGAUCUUCGGACCUCACGUUAUCAGAGGAGCCCGCGUCGGAUUAGCUAGUAGGUAGGGUAAAGGCCUACCUAGGCGACGAUCCGUAACUGGUCUGAGAGGAUGAUCAGUCACACUGGAACUGAGACACGGUCCAGACUCCUACGGGAGGCAGCAGUGGGGAAUAUUGGACAAUGGGGGCAACCCUGAUCCAGCCAUGCCGCGUGUGUGAAGAAGGCCUUCGGGUUGUAAAGCACUUUAAGUUGGGAGGAAGGCUUCACGGAUAAUACCUGUGAGGAUUGACGUUACCAACAGAAUAAGCACCGGCUAACUCCGUGCCAGCAGCCGCGGUAAUACGGAGGGUGCAAGCGUUAAUCGGAAUUACUGGGCGUAAAGCGCGCGUAGGCGGCCAUUUAAGCUAGAUGUGAAAGCCCAGGGCUUAACCUUGGAACUGCAUUUAGAACUGGAUGGCUAGAGUAUGGAAGAGGAGUGUGGAAUUUCAGGUGUAGCGGUGAAAUGCGUAGAGAUCUGAAGGAACAUCAGUGGCGAAGGCGACACUCUGGUCCAAUACUGACGCUGAGGUGCGAAAGCGUGGGGAUCAAACAGGAUUAGAUACCCUGGUAGUCCCACGCCGUAAACGAUGUCGACUAGCCGUUGGCCUCCUUGAGGGGUUAGUGGCGCAGCUAACGCGAUAAGUCGACCGCCUGGGGGAGUACGGCCCCCAAGGUUAAAACUCAAAUGAAUUGACGGGGGCCCCCCACAAGCGGUGGAGCAUGUGGUUUAAUUCGACCCAACCCCGAAAAAACCUUACCCUACUCUUGGACAUUCCAGAAAACCCCUUCAAAAAAUUUUA
This 968-nucleotide ribosomal RNA is filed under the name uncultured bacterium. RNAcentral's name for it is "bacterial SSU rRNA". It matches the Rfam family "Bacterial small subunit ribosomal RNA", at positions 53 to 1014 of the family's 1533-position model. The record is from RNAcentral.